Molecule: transfer RNA, 72 nt
Filed under: Marmota monax (woodchuck)
Lineage: Eukaryota; Metazoa; Chordata; Mammalia; Rodentia; Sciuridae
Description: tRNA.Ala
Source: RNAcentral
GGGGUUGUAGCUCAGUGGAAGAGUGCUUUCCUAGCAUGUAUGAGGCACCUGGGUUCCAUUCUCAGCACCACA